Long non-coding RNA from Oxyura jamaicensis (ruddy duck), 360 nucleotides. RefSeq lists it as uncharacterized. The transcript is spliced from 3 exons. The record is from RefSeq and is a predicted model, not a curated record. Lineage: Eukaryota; Metazoa; Chordata; Aves; Anseriformes; Anatidae.
UCACUCCCUGCUCAGCAGCAGCAUGGGCUGUCCGCGGGGCAAGCAGAGCCCUGCUGGGUUAUUACUUGAUGGCAGUGACUCACUGUGUCUUUUUAAGAUAACUUGUACAUAUCCUCUUAUCCCCUAACGUCGCCUGCCCGUGUUACGUGUGACUAGCAUUACGUGCUGUUGGAACUUCCCGUUUUAUUUUUAUUUUUAUUUUUGCUUUUGAUGUUUUGAUGUAACGGUACUGGUAGCAGAGCUGUUUUUCAACGCAUGUGAACUAACCUCCUGAGGACUCCUGCUAGGAGGAGCGGGAGUCCUGCCUGAUUUGUAUGUGCCCUUGAGGGGGAAAGACAAUAAACACUUGUACUAAACUCA